GGGCCCGUAGCUCAGUGGUAGAGCGUCGGCUUUGCAAGCCGAAGGCCCCGGGUUCGAAUCCCGGCGGGUCCACCA
This 75-nucleotide transfer RNA is filed under the name Chloroflexota bacterium. RNAcentral's name for it is "Chloroflexi bacterium (hot springs metagenome) tRNA-Ala". It matches the Rfam family "tRNA". Rfam says of the family: Transfer RNA (tRNA) molecules are approximately 80 nucleotides in length. The record is from RNAcentral. RNAcentral also lists the same sequence under 1 other name. Lineage: Bacteria; Bacillati; Chloroflexota.